GCCGGUGUAGCACAGUGGUAGUGCAGUCGCUUCGUAAGCGAAAGGUCGAUGGUUCAAAUCCGUCCACCGGCACCA
RNAcentral lists this transfer RNA (75 nucleotides) under Rickettsiales bacterium. Its description in RNAcentral is "tRNA-Thr". It matches the Rfam family "tRNA". Rfam says of the family: Transfer RNA (tRNA) molecules are approximately 80 nucleotides in length. Their secondary structure includes four short double-helical elements and three loops (D, anti-codon, and T loops). The record is from RNAcentral. Lineage: Bacteria; Pseudomonadati; Pseudomonadota; Alphaproteobacteria; Rickettsiales.